Molecule: ribosomal RNA, 253 nt
Filed under: uncultured bacterium
Lineage: Bacteria
Description: partial 16S ribosomal RNA
Rfam family: Bacterial small subunit ribosomal RNA
Source: RNAcentral
UACGGAGGGGGCAAGCGUUGUUCGGAGUCACUGGGCGUAAAGGGCGCGUAGGCGGUGCGUAAAGUCAGGCGUGAAAGCCCCGGGCUUAACCUGGGAAUUGCGCUUGAUACUGACGUGCUAGAGAACGGGAGAGGAUGGCGGAAUUCCCAGUGUAGAGGUGAAAUUCGUAGAUAUUGGGAGGAACACCAGUGGCGAAGGCGGCUCACUGGACCGGUACUGACGCUGAGGCGCGAAAGCGUGGGGAGCAAACGGG